UCAUUCCCAGUGGGCUGAAUUUAGCCAGCA
Molecule: non-coding RNA, 30 nt
Filed under: Macaca fascicularis (crab-eating macaque)
Lineage: Eukaryota; Metazoa; Chordata; Mammalia; Primates; Cercopithecidae
Also listed under: 1 other name
Source: RNAcentral